Molecule: ribosomal RNA, 700 nt
Filed under: uncultured Shewanella sp.
Lineage: Bacteria; Pseudomonadati; Pseudomonadota; Gammaproteobacteria; Alteromonadales; Shewanellaceae
Description: bacterial SSU rRNA
Rfam family: Bacterial small subunit ribosomal RNA
Source: RNAcentral
AUUGAACGCUGGCGGCAGGCCUAACACAUGCAAGUCGAGCGGCAGCACAAGGGAGUUUACUCCUGAGGUGGCGAGCGGCGGACGGGUGAGUAAUGCCUAGGGAUCUGCCCAGUCGUGGGGGAUAACAGUUGGAAACGACUGCUAAUACCGCAUACGCCCUACGGGGGAAAGGAGGGGACCUUCGGGCCUUCCGCGAUUGGAUGAACCUAGGUGGGAUUAGCUAGUUGGUGAGGUAAUGGCUCACCAAGGCGACGAUCCCUAGCUGUUCUGAGAGGAUGAUCAGCCACACUGGGACUGAGACACGGCCCAGACUCCUACGGGAGGCAGCAGUGGGGAAUAUUGCACAAUGGGGGAAACCCUGAUGCAGCCAUGCCGCGUGUGUGAAGAAGGCCUUCGGGUUGUAAAGCACUUUCAGUAGGGAGGAAAGGUUAGUAGUUAAUACCUGCUAGCUGUGACGUUACCUACAGAAGAAGGACCGGCUAACUCCGUGCCAGCAGCCGCGGUAAUACGGAGGGUCCAAGCGUUAAUCGGAAUUACUGGGCGUAAAGCGUGCGCAGGCGGUUUGUUAAGCGAGAUGUGAAAGCCCCGGGCUCAACCUGGGAAUUGCAUUUCGAACUGGCAAACUAGAGUCUUGUAGAGGGGGGUAGAAUUCCAGGUGUAGCGGUGAAAUGCGUAGAGAUCUGGAGGAAUACCGGUGGCG